UACGUAGGGUGCGAGCGUUGUCCGGAAUUAUUGGGCGUAAAGGGCGCGUAGGCGGCUUGGCAAGUGGAAGGUGAAAUCCCUCGGCUUAACCGAGGAACUGCCCUCCAAACUGCUUUGCUUGAGGCCGGGAGAGGUGAGUGGAAUUCCCAGUGUAGCGGUGAAAUGCGUAGAUAUUGGGAGGAACACCAGUGGCGAAGGCGGCUCACUGGACCGGUUCUGACGCUGAUGCGCGAAAGCGUGGGGAGCAAACGGG
RNAcentral lists this ribosomal RNA (253 nucleotides) under uncultured bacterium. RNAcentral describes it as "partial 16S ribosomal RNA". It matches the Rfam family "Bacterial small subunit ribosomal RNA", at positions 524 to 776 of the family's 1533-position model. The record is from RNAcentral.